ACGAACGCUGGCGGCGUGCUUAACACAUGCAAGUCGAACGGAAAGGCCCUGCUUGCAGGGUACUCGAGUGGCGAACGGGUGAGUAACACGUGGGUGAUCUGCCCUGCACUUCGGGAUAAGCUUGGGAAACUGGGUCUAAUACCGGAUAGGAGCCAUCUUUAGUGUGGUGGUUGGAAAGUUUUUUCGGUGUAGGAUGAGCUCGCGGCCUAUCAGCUUGUUGGUGGGGUAAUGGCCUACCAAGGCGGCGACGGGUAGCCGGCCUGAGAGGGUGUACGGCCACAUUGGGACUGAGAUACGGCCCAGACUCCUACGGGGGGCAGCAGGGGGGAAUAUUGCACAAUGGGCGCAAGCCUGAUGCAGCGACGCCGCGUGGGGGAUGAAGGCCUUCGGGUUGUAAACUCCUUUCGCUAGGGACGAAGCUUUUUUGUGACGGUACCUAGAUAAGAAGCACCGGCUAACUACGUG
Molecule: ribosomal RNA, 465 nt
Filed under: uncultured bacterium
Lineage: Bacteria
Description: partial 16S ribosomal RNA
Rfam family: Bacterial small subunit ribosomal RNA
Source: RNAcentral